Molecule: ribosomal RNA, 424 nt
Filed under: uncultured bacterium
Lineage: Bacteria
Description: bacterial SSU rRNA
Rfam family: Bacterial small subunit ribosomal RNA
Source: RNAcentral
UGGGGAAUUUUGGUCAAUGGGCGAAAGCCUGAACCAGCAACGCCGCGUGGGUGAUGAAGGCCUUCGGGUUGUAAAGCCCUGUCGGGAGGGACGAAACCUGCGUUUAACGGACGCAGCUGACGGUACCUCCAAAGGAAGCACCGGCUAACUCUGUGCCAGCAGCCGCGGUAAUACAGAGGGUGCAAGCGUUGUUCGGAAUUACUGGGCGUAAAGCGCGUGUAGGCGGCUCGUUAGGUCCUGUGUGAAAGCCCCGGGCUCAACCCGGGAAGUGCGCAGGAUACCGGCGGGCUGGAGUGUCGGAGAGGGUGGCGGAAUUCCCGGUGUAGAGGUGAAAUUCGUAGAUAUCGGGAGGAACACCUGUGGCGAAGGCGGCCACCUGGACGAUAACUGACGCUGAGACGCGAAAGCGUGGGUAGCAAACAGG